AGGGUAAGCUGAACCUCUGAU
This 21-nucleotide microRNA is filed under the name Pan troglodytes (chimpanzee). RNAcentral's name for it is "ptr-miR-555". Its record names the gene ptr-miR-555. RNAcentral also lists the same sequence under 1 other name. Lineage: Eukaryota; Metazoa; Chordata; Mammalia; Primates; Hominidae. The record is from miRBase by way of RNAcentral.